Molecule: ribosomal RNA, 205 nt
Filed under: uncultured bacterium
Lineage: Bacteria
Description: partial 16S ribosomal RNA
Rfam family: Bacterial small subunit ribosomal RNA
Source: RNAcentral
UAACGCGUGAGAAUCUGCCUUCAGGUUGGGGACAACAGUUGGAAACGGCUGCUAAUACCCAAUGUGCCGAGAGGUGAAAGCUUUAGUGCCUGAAGAUGAGCUCGCGUCUGAUUAGCUAGCUGGUGGGGUAAAGGCCUACCAAGGCGACGAUCAGUAGCUGGUCUGAGAGGAUGAUCAGCCACACUGGGACUGAGACACGGCCCAG